Molecule: microRNA precursor, 65 nt
Filed under: Octopus vulgaris (common octopus)
Lineage: Eukaryota; Metazoa; Mollusca; Cephalopoda; Octopoda; Octopodidae
Also listed under: 1 other name
Description: Ovu-Mir-12528_pre stem-loop
Source: RNAcentral
UACGUGUCACCUACAGCCAUGCUGGUCAGGUGUCUAAGACAGCAUGGCAUAUGUGACUCGAAAAG